GCAUCAUUCUCAUCAACCAGGAUCCCAACUGUGUCCUCGGCUGGUCCUACCUUCUGCAGUGUUUCUGGUAGUCUGGGGUCAAGAUCGACAUCACUUAGAUCGUCAUCAUUAUCCUUCGGAUGAACAGUGUCAGCAGACUUUGAACUUUCUCCUUCAAACGGGGGGAGCCUCGGGUAACCUGAUGGGUGUAAUGCUGGGUCGUCAAUAACCAUCUUUCCCUUUCUCGCCCGCAUCAGCUUCUGCUCUUCUGUUUCAUCUUCGCUGGCUUCUUCGACUAUCCCUUCGACGAAUGUGUCGGAUGGCAUAGGCGGAGGUCCUUCGAUUUG
Molecule: long non-coding RNA, 326 nt
Filed under: Daucus carota (carrot)
Lineage: Eukaryota; Viridiplantae; Streptophyta; Magnoliopsida; Apiales; Apiaceae
Description: long non-coding RNA (DCAR_LNC006873)
Source: RNAcentral